RNAcentral lists this ribosomal RNA (485 nucleotides) under Coptotermes sp. ENT-MG304. RNAcentral describes it as "partial small subunit ribosomal RNA". It matches the Rfam family "Bacterial large subunit ribosomal RNA", at positions 1810 to 2550 of the family's 2925-position model. Lineage: Eukaryota; Metazoa; Arthropoda; Insecta; Blattodea; Rhinotermitidae. The record is from RNAcentral.
AAAACAUCUUUUCUUGUUAGUUUUUGAAGUAUGGCCUGCCCGCUGACAUUGAGUGUUGAAGGGCCGCGGUAUUUUGACCGUGCAAAGGUAGCAUAAUCAUUAGUUCUUUAAUUGUGAUCUGGAAUGAAUGGCUUGACGAGGCACGGGCUGUCUUAGUGUUGAAUGUUUUAUUGAAUUUGGUCUUUGAGUUAAAAUUCUUAAAUGUUUUUGUGGGACGAGAAGACCCUAUAGAGUUUGACAUUUGGUUUAUUUCCUGUUUGGCUGUUUGUUUGUUUUGUUGGUGAGUGGGCUUUUUGUUUUGUUGGGGUGAUGAGAGGAAUAUGUUUAACUCCUCUUGGUUUUGGUUAUAUUGAUUUAUAGUUGUUUGAUCCAUUUAUUUUGAUUAUAAGACUAAAUUACCUUAGGGAUAACAGCGUUAUCUUCCUUGAGAGUUCUUAUCGGCAGGGAGGUUUGCGACCUCGAUGUUGGAUUAAGGUGAAUUUUGG